This is a long non-coding RNA of Herpailurus yagouaroundi (jaguarundi), 308 nucleotides long. RefSeq lists it as uncharacterized. The record is from RefSeq and is a predicted model, not a curated record. Lineage: Eukaryota; Metazoa; Chordata; Mammalia; Carnivora; Felidae. The transcript is spliced from 2 exons.
CUUCUGCAGCAAUCAAUGCUCCCAGCUGUCUUUUGUUGGCAGACACCUUGGCCACCCUGCUUGAUCCAGUCAUAGAAAGGCAGUGGAGAUCUGCCAGCUCUGCCUUCAAGGGGAAUAUGGAUUAUGCGUAGAAAAAGAACAAAGAUCCAUGCCUGCCCCAACAACAAUGCACCAACCACCACCUGCAGCCAAGGAGAAACUUCUGUAACCUGGAACACUUGUCCUUUUCCAGAGAACUUUAAAAAAUUAAAACCUUCUCAAUUUCCUCCAAAAACUGAAUAAAAACUGACCGUCCCUUUGUCUCUUCA